UUCUUUGUCUACACUUUUGGAAAGAGUGAUGACGCCAUCGCUUUUUCCGAAAUGUAGACAAAGCA
Molecule: microRNA precursor, 65 nt
Filed under: Camelina sativa (false flax)
Lineage: Eukaryota; Viridiplantae; Streptophyta; Magnoliopsida; Brassicales; Brassicaceae
Description: miR158b stem-loop (cas-MIR158b)
Gene: cas-MIR158b
Source: miRBase by way of RNAcentral